This 477-nucleotide ribosomal RNA is filed under the name uncultured Pseudomonas sp. RNAcentral's name for it is "bacterial SSU rRNA". It matches the Rfam family "Bacterial small subunit ribosomal RNA", at positions 912 to 1382 of the family's 1533-position model. Lineage: Bacteria; Pseudomonadati; Pseudomonadota; Gammaproteobacteria; Pseudomonadales; Pseudomonadaceae. The record is from RNAcentral.
GACGGGGGCCCGCACAAGCGGUGGAGUAUGUGGUUUAAUUCGAUGCAACGCGAAGAACCUUACCUGGUCUUGACAUCCCGGAGACCCUUAGGAAACUAGGGGGUGCUUCCAUCUGGAAGAAUCUGGAGACAGGUGCUGCAUGGCUGUCGUCAGCUCGUGUCGUGAAAUGUUGGGUUAAGUCCCGCAACGAGCGCAACCCUUGUCCUUAGUUACCAGCACGUUAUGGUGGGCACUCUAAGGAGACUGCCGGUGACAAACCGGAGGAAGGUGGGGAUGACGUCAAGUCAUCAUGGCCCUUACGGCCUGGGCUACACACGUGCUACAAUGGUCGGUACAAAGGGUUGCCAAGCCGCGAGGUGGAGCUAAUCCCAUAAAACCGAUCGUAGUCCGGAUCGCAGUCUGCAACUCGACUGCGUGAAGUCGGAAUCGCUAGUAAUCGUGAAUCAGAAUGUCACGGUGAAUACGUUCCCGGGCCUU